CAAGUCGAACGAAUCCCACUCGUGUAGCAAUACAUGGGUGGGGGAAGUGGCGAAAGGGGCAGUAAGGCGUGGGUAACCUACCCCGGGGACGCGGAUAGCCGGUCUAACGGCCGGGUAAACCGCGGCGAUUCAGCGGAGGGGCAUCUUUCUGCUGGGAAAUAAAUUUUGCCUCGGGAGGGGCUCACGUGAUAUUAGCUGGUUGGUGAGGUGACGGCUCACCAAGGCGAAGAUGUCUAGCGGGUGUGAGAGCACGACCCGCGCCACUGGCACUGAGACACUGGCCAGACACCUACGGGUGGCUGCAGUCGAGGAUCUUCGGCAAUGGGCGCAAGCCUGACCGAGCGACGCCGCGUGAGCGAUGAAGGCCUUCGGGUUGUAAAGCUCUGUCGAGGGGGAUAAAGGCGCAAGCUUGAUUGAUCCCUGGAGGAAGCACGGGCUAAGUUCGUGCCAGCAGCCGCGGUAAGACGAACCGUGCGAACGUUGUUCGGAAUCACUGGGCUUAAAGGGCGCGUAGGCGGCUAUUCAAGUCCGGGGUGAAAUCCUCCCGCUCAACGGGAGAAGUGCCUUGGAUACUGGAUGGCUCGAGGGAGGUAGGGGUCGAGGGAACUUCUGGUGGAGCGGUGAAAUGCGUUGAUAUCAGAAGGAACGCCGGUGGCGAAAGCGCUCGACUGGACCUUUUCUGACGCUGAGGCGCGAAAGCUAGGGGAGCAAACGGGAUUAGAUACCCCGGUAGUCCUAGCCCUAAACGAUGAGCACUAGUUUGUGGACUAGUCAUGGGUUCACAGACGAAGCAAAAGUUUUAAGUGCUCCGCC
This 813-nucleotide ribosomal RNA is filed under the name uncultured Planctomycetota bacterium. RNAcentral describes it as "bacterial SSU rRNA". It matches the Rfam family "Bacterial small subunit ribosomal RNA", at positions 58 to 873 of the family's 1533-position model. The record is from RNAcentral. Lineage: Bacteria; Pseudomonadati; Planctomycetota.